ACAAGAAAAAUUAAAUUUUUUUUUGUCGUAAACAAUAUUAUUGUCCUCACAAUGCGUAGAAGAAUCUUUGAUUAUAAUUAGGUCCAUAAAUUAUAUCAUGGUUUAUCAAUAUAUCACACCACGAAAUUAUAGAUUCGUCCAGUAUACCAUCUCUGCGAGAAACGCAGGGUGGCCAACUUAGGCCCACGGCCAACUUAGGACUAUUCUCCCCCAAAAUAUAAUUAAUUUUGUGUUAGAAAAUAAAAAUUGUUAAUAAAUAAAUUGCCUAUAACAUAACAAAUAGUAAUUGUUUAUGACAAUAAAUUUCACUGGUACUUACUUGCAUAUCAUAAGUAUAGUAAAUUAUGAAAAAUUCAGUCGCUAAAUUUACAUAAUAUUAAAAAAAAGCUUUUGUUAAUUUAUUUCUUUGGAACAAAGGCAAAAAUUGUUUAAACAAAAUAGUUAAUGUCUCAAGAUAUUUUUAGAACAUGGCUAUAAUGUUUUGGUAAUUAUUAAUAAUAUAAUAGGCUUUUGUAAGCAACAAUAUUUGUUUAAAGUAAAAAAAUUUCUCAUUUUUUUUUAUUAACAUUUAAUAAACAAUUAACGGGAAUUUUUUUUAAUAAAAAACGUACAUUUUAUGACAAAUUUUAUUAGCUUUAAUUUAAAAAAAAAUUGUCAAUCGGUUAAAAAUUAUGGUCUAAAAAUUAAUUUGUCCAAUAGCGUGUUUUUUGCCCCACUGUGCUUUACCAGCAAUGAGACGUUUUGAAUGCCAGUAUUGGCUUAGUAAUUUUUGUCAGUUUCCUGCAGACAUUGACGGGCCCGUUUUGAAGUCUUGGAAUUUCGCAUUUGGAGCUUAUAAAAAACCAUUUAUUUGCUUUUUUCCGAGAAGCACCACGUGGAGUGGUCAUUUGGUGUACUUUUGUGGGAGCUAACAACUUUAGCCCAACAGCCGUACGUAGAAGUUGAUCCGUUCGAAAUGUCAUCCUAUCUUCGAGACGGUUAUAGGUUAGCUCAACCAAUUAACUGCCCUGACGAAUUAUUUGCAGUAAUGGCUUACUGCUGGGCUAUGUCAUCAGACGAAAGACCAACUUUUAAUCAACUGAUAGUGUGUUUGCAAGACUUUCAUAUGCAAUUAACAAGAUAUGUUUAAUUUCUAAAAAAUUAUGUUAAAUAAAUAUUUUGUACAUGCUAGUUAUUAUAAUAUUUGUAUAUAUAGAGUGCAAUUGAAUGAUAAGGGUUAACUAUCUAAAACUAUAGCACUAUUGUUCUCUUUUAAGAUUAUAUUUAAAAUUUAUAUAAGUGUCAUUGGAGUAUUAGGAUGCAUAUUAACUUUAAGGUUUCUUGUUUCCUCAUUACACAAAUAAACAAUUGUAAAAUAUUUGUAGUCCCCAUUACUCGAGUGUUUUUAGUGUCGCGGAAUGCGAAUCUGAUGUUAGAUUUUUAAAAUUCAUACUGAAGGACAUUGAUAUUCAUCCCUUAAUCCAGACAAGUAUGCGAAAAUCAUAAUUUUAUCCAUGAAUGAAUAAAAUAUCUUUUGUCAGAAAAAGUCACAAAUAGAUAUUUGUGUAAACACAGUGUAGCGCACAGAUAGAAGAGCAAGCAAGAUUGAAAAUUCAAAAAAUCGAGAGAAUUUUUUUUUCCAUAAACGUUCGGCAUACACGGUUGGCAUGACGAACCGUGAUAAUUUUAAUUUUAUGUAGUAGAAUUGUCUUUUAACAGAUUUUUCAUGUAUUCAAAUUAGUAUUGAUUAUAGAAUAUAUAUCAAAAUGACUUGUAAUCGAA
This is a long non-coding RNA of Leptopilina heterotoma, 1761 nucleotides long. RefSeq lists it as uncharacterized. The transcript is spliced from 2 exons. The record is from RefSeq and is a predicted model, not a curated record. NCBI's taxonomy places the organism in Eukaryota, Metazoa, Arthropoda, Insecta, Hymenoptera, Figitidae.